GGGACACGUGGUAUCCUGUCUGAAUAUGGGGGGACCAUCCUCCAAGGCUAAAUACUCCUGACUGACCGAUAGUGAACCAGUACCGUGAGGGAAAGGCGAAAAGAACCCCGGCGAGGGGAGUGAAAAAGAACCUGAAACCGUGUACGUACAAGCAGUGGGAGCACAGAGCAAUCUGUGUGACUGCGUACCUUUUGUAUAAUGGGUCAGCGACUUAUAUUCUGUAGCAAGGUUAACCGAAUAGGGGAGCCGAAGGGAAACCGAGUCUUAACUGGGCGUUAAGUUGCAGGGUAUAGACCCGAAACCCGGUGAUCUAGCCAUGGGCAGGUUGAAGGUUGGGUAACACUAACUGGAGGACCGAACCGACUAAUGUUGAAAAAUUAGCGGAUGACUUGUGGCUGGGGGUGAAAGGCCAAUCAAACCGGGAGAUAGCUGGUUCUCCCCGAAAGCUAUUUAGGUAGCGCCUCGUGAAUUCAUCUCCGGGGGUAGAGCACUGUUUCGGCAAGGGGGUCAUCCCGACUUACCAACCCGAUGCAAACUGCGAAUACCGGAGAAUGUUAUCACGGGAGACACACGGCGGGUGCUAACGUCCGUCGUGAAGAGGGAAACAACCCAGACCGCCAGCUAAGGUCCCAAAGUCAUGGUUAAGUGGGAAACGAUGUGGGAAGGCCCAGACAGCCAGGAUGUUGGCUUAGAAGCAGCCAUCAUUUAAAGAAAGCGUAAUAGCUCACUGGUCGAGUCGGCCUGCGCGGAAGAUGUAACGGGGCUAAACCAUGCACCGAAGCUGCGGCAGCGACGCUUAUGCGUUGUUGGGUAGGGGAGCGUUCUGUAAGCCUGUGAAGGUGUGCUGUGAGGCAUGCUGGAGGUAUCAGAAGUGCGAAUGCUGACAUAAGUAACGAUAAAGCGGGUGAAAAGCCCGCUCGCCGGAAGACCAAGGGUUCCUGUCCAACGUUAAUCGGGGCAGGGUGAGUCGACCCCUAAGGCGAGGCCGAAAGGCGUAGUCGAUGGGAAACAGGUUAAUAUUCCUGUACUUGGUGUUACUGCGAAGGGGGGACGGAGAAGGCUAUGUUGGCCGGGCGACGGUUGUCCCGGUUUAAGCGUGUAGGCUGGUUUUCCAGGCAAAUCCGGAAAAUCAAGGCUGAGGCGUGAUGACGAGGCACUACGGUGCUGAAGCAACAAAUGCCCUGCUUCCAGGAAAAGCCUCUAAGCAUCAGGUAACAUCAAAUCGUACCCCAAACCGACACAGGUGGUCAGGUAGAGAAUACCAAGGCGCUUGAGAGAACUCGGGUGAAGGAACUAGGCAAAAUGGUGCCGUAACUUCGGGAGAAGGCACGCUGAUAUGUAGGUGAGGUCCCUCGCGGAUGGAGCUGAAAUCAGUCGAAGAUACCAGCUGGCUGCAACUGUUUAUUAAAAACACAGCACUGUGCAAACACGAAAGUGGACGUAUACGGUGUGACGCCUGCCCGGUGCCGGAAGGUUAAUUGAUGGGGUUAGCGGUAACGCGAAGCUCUUGAUCGAAGCCCCGGUAAACGGCGGCCGUAACUAUAACGGUCCUAAGGUAGCGAAAUUCCUUGUCGGGUAAGUUCCGACCUGCACGAAUGGC
This 1600-nucleotide ribosomal RNA is filed under the name Escherichia coli. RNAcentral describes it as "partial 23S ribosomal RNA". It matches the Rfam family "Bacterial large subunit ribosomal RNA", at positions 419 to 2000 of the family's 2925-position model. The record is from RNAcentral. Lineage: Bacteria; Pseudomonadati; Pseudomonadota; Gammaproteobacteria; Enterobacterales; Enterobacteriaceae.